AUAGAUAGAGGCGCGUGUUUCAUCAGUCCCCAAUCGGACCUUGCAGAGAAGGGAAGAGGGUUGGCAAAAGGGGAACAUGCCGAAGAGGUUCGGUUUCUGCUCCCGAGGCUCUGGGCUUAUUGUUAAGAGCAAUAAGACUGUCACUUAUUGUAUAAGUGGAGCGCUAUCC
This 169-nucleotide non-coding RNA is filed under the name bovine gut metagenome. Its description in RNAcentral is "Lysine riboswitch". It matches the Rfam family "Lysine riboswitch aptamer". From Rfam's summary of the family: Riboswitches are metabolite binding domains within certain messenger RNAs that serve as precision sensors for their corresponding targets. Allosteric rearrangement of mRNA structure is mediated by ligand binding, and this results in modulation of gene expression. This family includes riboswitches that sense lysine in a number of genes involved in lysine metabolism, including lysC. The record is from RNAcentral.